Molecule: long non-coding RNA, 4021 nt
Organism: Gallus gallus (chicken)
Lineage: Eukaryota; Metazoa; Chordata; Aves; Galliformes; Phasianidae
Exons: 2
Source: RefSeq, marked validated
GCGCUUUGUAACGUACCUCCUGUACGAGUGCGGUCCUACGCCUACGGGAGUUGUAAAUCACUCCGUACGCUCCCCGUUGGUGUGCGUGCUCAGAACUGCUUGACAGUGAGCUGUCAGGAAUCUGAAGGCCGUGGCCUAGAGGCACGUUGUUGCUUCCGGCAUGCCGCAGGCCCUGCCUUCGCCCGGCCUCAGCCGUCGCCUCUCCCCGCUGGCAUCUCCGAAUGCCGCACGGUACCGCCAGCCGUAGCAGGCAGCGAGGAGCCCUGAGCGCUGCAGCACAGGAAGCUGACAGUGCACAGGAGAACCAUCGCUGCGGUUGGUCAUUGGUUCCCGUUUGAGUGCCGCAAACCAAUUCCAAGGAAUGGAGGAGAAUAAGGGGCAGCGUGCUAAAAGCAGCGGCGCGGUGAGCGACCUGAGGAGAAGCUGGCAGACCUGGGCAGAGGAUCGGGUUGAGUACCAGAGGAAGAACCCAUUCAGCAACGAUGAUAGGCUCGCAUCUAAACCUCUGCAUGCUCAGAAAGGAGACCUUGCCUACGGGAGACCCCCUGAAGGGUCUAAAACAGAGCAGAGAGGGAAAGAUGCUCACUCGCAUGUGGAAAAGGAGGUGGAAGAGCUGUGCCUGAUCAUCAGAAGCACGGGGCAGAAGGGAGAAGACGGACACGUGAGUGUAACGUUUGGGCAGCUGUUUGAGACAUAUGUGACUAUCUCCAACAAAGUGGUGGGAAUCUUGCUGAGAGCCAGAAAACACGGCCUGGUUCAUUUUGAAGGUGAAAUGCUUUGGCAAGGAAAGGAUGAUGAUGUGGUCAUCACUUUGCUGGAAUGAGACUUUGGCAUCUGAUGAAUUUUGCUGCUUGUUUCCAUUUGGAAAAACCUCUAGAUACUGUCUUGAAAAGGUUUUCAUUGCAGAAUUUCAGCUCUGCAAAUUAAUGGGACAUUUAAAGGAGAAAAUGGGUGCGAAACAUAAAAAAAUGGUUUGCAUAAAAAUAAUAAGCAAUUUUGGAGAGAAAUCACAAAUAAUCAACUAAUCUGUCACAAUACCGAGUAUGCUGUGGUUCUUCAAGCAUCCUCACUGGGUUAGUGCUUUAGGUUCUGAACACUAAUGACUAAUUGCCACCAUACAGCACUGAAUCUUGGAGGUUGUGAAAGACUUGCUGUGGGGGGGAUUUUCUGAUUUGCAAAACAUGGAAUUGAGCACUUUUAUGGGAAUUCAUAUACUUCAAGAGCUUGGCUGUAGCAAAGGUUCUCGUUACUGGUGACUCUAAAUAAAUGGCAGUUAGGUUGAUUUUCGUGAAGUAUAUGAAAAUGCCCAAGUUUACAGAAAUAUCACUUGCUUAGUGGCCUACAAUAUAUACAGCAAGGAUAUUUCAUGUUUCCUAAAUAAGCUGCAUCUUGCUGAACUUAAUGGUCUAUCCUUAGCAUCGUGUCUUCUGCAUCUAGUUCUUUUUCCUCUCUGUAUAUCAUACCACUUUCACCUCCUCUUCUAAUGCUGGGUCAUACUACGGGAGAUCACAAAGCUCUGCAGCCUUUUUGGUGGUCUCAAAUACACCCUUCAGAAAAAAUAGGGUGCCACAACACAACAACUUGAAACACAACAGAAAGUCUAUUGGGGCAUUAAUGAAAAGAAAAAAAUAACAAAAAAAAAGCUCUGACUUCUUUCAGCAAAGUGUAGCAAUGCUGUUUACAACAGGAGAGUAGAGGUCCUGUAGUGCCAAACGCGUAAGUAGACGUAUAGAGUGCAGUCACAUCCCUCAUUUAGUUGAGGCAGAGCUGUGUUGCAAGUUUCCAAACGGGGAGAUAAAAAUGAGGUUGAGAAAUGAGCAACAAGAAUUUUCCUUAUGGUUCUUAUAACCAUAAGGAGGAACUUUUGGAGGAACUUCUGGAGGAACUUUUUUCAGGGUUCAGAAUUGGUUAUAUUUGAUAGUUGUAAUGACAAUAUUAAAAAUAAUCAGGAACUGUGAUUCUAUUUCCAAUAAUUGCCACCAAGAAAAUGGGAAUACAAAAUUCUAUUUCUUUCUUUUCUUUCUUUCUUUUUCUUUUUUCUUUUUCAAACAGGACAAAUGGAAGCUCUGGUGUGGUAUAUGUGGUGCUAAGUACAGUACUUGAUGAGUCUUUAAAAUAAGAAUAUUCUCUUGCCUCAAAAGGAUACUGAGAUUUAUUAUAAGCUAUGCACUUGAUAAAAGUGAUUAUUUAAUGCUAUUUACAUAAACCUCCCCCCCUUUUUUUUUGCAAGAAGCAUGAGUUUUGACUUUUUCAUCUAUUGGGAUUUUGCAUUAAAUUAAACUUUCUGACUGAGCAAGUAAAAAUACAGUUUUCGUUAUCCCUCUGCCUCCUUUUCAUAGUGAAAAGACAAGGAAAAUGGAAAAAAACAGAGAUGAAUGUGGCAACAAGAACUAAGUCCAUCUGGAGAAUAGGAGAGCCAGAUGCAGGUACAGCAUGGAGAGGAAACAAAGGAUGGGCUUUAAUCACCACAUCAUUUCAGCAUAUUGGAAACUGGAGAAUACAUGCUGCCCCAGACACCACUGGUUUGUGUUCUCAGAACCACUCCUUUCUAAAAUAAUUUAUGGCUUAAAACAAGACUUAUGUAACUUGUCAUCACUUCAUAUUUAAAAUGCUUUGGUUUUUUGGAAAAGCGUUUCUAGCCAAAUGACAUGAGCAUGAGUUAGUGCAUUUCCACUCCCAUAUGAUGAAACCUGGGCGUGCAUUUUGAUUUCAAAGCAAAUAUAGCACAGCUAUGAAAUGUGGUGUGCUUAAUUCUAACCAUUUGUCAGCCCAGUUGAUUCUGCUCCAGCCAUGUUCGUAACUUGGAGAAGGCAGUAUUCGGCAGUUCAAGUAUCACCAGCUACAGGAUGGCAGUAUCAUGGAAAAUAAUCCAUUACUCUCAAAAGACACACAGUUGAGGCAGUGUGUAACCUGAGCACUCUCAGGGUGCAAGUCCAGCUUGUGCAGACUCACUAAUUCUUAAUUAAGUCUGACCUGAGUAGUUAAGCAACAAGAACUAAGGCUUCCACUGCCAUGCAUGUAGUGUCAGACAGUAACAUGGCCUCAGCUGUACUGCUGCUUAGGGUUGGUUUACGUAUCACUUGAGCACAUCUGCAAAAGCUUUAAGCGUACCUCUUACUCGGCUCGAACAGAAGCCGAGUAAGCCCUAUAUGAAAUGGUCUUAUCAACUGUGUGACUGUGAGAAGAUUGUCCUAUCUUGAACAAAACAAAGGGUCAUUAUUAAAAACGUAAUUCAUAGGAGGUUCAUAGGGGGUUGGAUUUUUUUAAAAAACAGCUGUAGGGCCAAAUUUCCUGUCUGCCAUUAUUAGGUGAACGUUCUCUGAAGGGUGACGAGUCUUUCUGUCUCAUACGUCCGUGCAGUGGCACCAAAAUCUGCCAAACUGGGUCAGUGCACAGGUUGAUAGAUGCAAUCUGCUUUCAGCAAUCGCCCAUAUCUCAAAAGAAGUCUUUAAAAGAUAACACAAUUGUUCAGUUUGUCCACCAAAUACACUCAAGAGUAAGAAAAUCAAUCUUAAAGCCAAUACAGACAAGAACAGCCCUAUCUACUGGACAUGACUGAAUGUAGCUACUAGCCUACAAGUUUUACAGAGCUCUGCUUCUUCAUCUGCAAUGUAGUUUCAAUUAGCAUCUACAGGUGACAGUUCUUGGAAGUUUUAUUAUGCAACAGGGCCUCUUUUGAGGAACAGAAAUCCUCUUUAGUGGAACAGAAUUUAAUAUAUUCACUAAAAAUGUAAGAUGUGCAUUUUAAAUAUUACAACUCGUCUGUAGUAGUAACUAAAGUUUGACCUUUUAUAAGGUUUUCUGUCCUACCAUGUAACAUUCAGCUCUUCCAGUCUCUCCUGAACGUUCACUUUUCUUUUAACAACCUUAUCUGCUUCCUCUGCAGUCUUUCCUUUGAGUUGAAGCCUGUGAGUUCUGCACCUGACUUGGACUGUACAUUGUACAGGAAUUAUCUGUAUUUUGUCUUGUCAAAAUAAAUAAAUAUUUAUUCACUUCAAUAAAUAUUGCACAACAGUUGAAA